AUUGAACGCUGGCGGAAUGCUUUACACAUGCAAGUCGAACGGCAGCACGGACUUCGGUCUGGUGGCGAGUGGCGAACGGGUGAGUAAUGUAUCGGAACGUGCCCAGUCGUGGGGGAUAACGUAGUGAAAAUUACGCUAAUACCGCAUACGAUCUAUGGAUGAAAGCGGGGGAUCACAAGACCUCGCGCGAUUGGAGCGGCCGAUGUCAGAUUAGGUAGUUGGUGAGGUAAAGGCUCACCAAGCCGACGAUCUGUAGCUGGUCUGAGAGGACGACCAGCCACACUGGGACUGAGAAACGGCCCAGACUCCUACGGGAGGCAGCAGUGGGGAAUUUUGGACAAUGGGCGCAAGCCUGAUCCAGCCAUUCCGCGUGCAGGACGAAGGCCUUCGGGUUGUAAACUGCUUUUGUACAGAACGAAAAGGUUUCUACUAAUACUAGGAGCUCAUGACGGUACUGUAAGAAUAAGCACCGGCUAACUACGUGCCAGCAGCCGCCGUAA
This 500-nucleotide ribosomal RNA is filed under the name uncultured bacterium. RNAcentral's name for it is "partial 16S ribosomal RNA". It matches the Rfam family "Bacterial small subunit ribosomal RNA", at positions 30 to 523 of the family's 1533-position model. The record is from RNAcentral.